RNAcentral lists this ribosomal RNA (468 nucleotides) under uncultured bacterium. Its description in RNAcentral is "partial 16S ribosomal RNA". It matches the Rfam family "Bacterial small subunit ribosomal RNA", at positions 28 to 507 of the family's 1533-position model. The record is from RNAcentral.
GACGAACGCUGGCGGCGUGCUUAACACAUGCAAGUCGAACGGAAAGGCCCUGCUUUUGUGGGGUGCUCGAGUGGCGAACGGGUGAGUAACACGUGAGUAACCUGCCCUUGACUUUGGGAUAACUUCAGGAAACUGUGGCUAAUACCGGAUAGGAGCUCCUGCUGCAUGGUGGGGGUUGGAAAGGUUCGGCGGUUGGGGAUGGACUCGCGGCUUAUCAGCUUGUUGUUGGGGUAGUGGCUUACCAAGGCUUUGACGGGGAGCCGGCCUGAGAGGGUGACCGGCCACAUUGGGACUGAGAUACGGGCCAGACUGCUACGGGAGGCAUCAGUGGAGAAUAUUGCACAAUGGGCGGAAGCCUGAUGCAGCAACGCCGCGUGCUGGAUGACGGCCUUCGGGUUGUAAACAGAUUUAGCGUGUGACGAAGAGUGAGUGACGGUAAUGGGUAAAGAAGCAACGGCUAACUACGUG